CGGGACGGGUGAGUAAUGUCUGGGAAACUGCCUGAUGGAGGGGGAUAACUACUGGAAACGGUAGCUAAUACCGCAUAACGUCGCAAGACCAAAGAGGAGGACCUUCGGGCCUCUUGCCAUCGGAUGUGCCCAGAUGGGAUUAGCUAGUAGGUGGGGUAAAGGCUCACCUAGGCGACGAUCCCUAGCUGGUCUGAGAGGAUGACCAGCCACACUGGAACUGAGACACGGUCCAG
RNAcentral lists this ribosomal RNA (233 nucleotides) under uncultured bacterium. RNAcentral describes it as "partial 16S ribosomal RNA". It matches the Rfam family "Bacterial small subunit ribosomal RNA", at positions 100 to 334 of the family's 1533-position model. The record is from RNAcentral.